Molecule: transfer RNA, 68 nt
Filed under: Agriotes hirayamai
Lineage: Eukaryota; Metazoa; Arthropoda; Insecta; Coleoptera; Elateridae
Also listed under: 2 other names
Description: tRNA-Met
Source: RNAcentral
AAAAAGAUAAGCUAAAAUCAAGCUUUUGGGUUCAUACCUCAAAUAUAAAGUUAAUACUUUUCUUUUUA